UUGCGUUCUACUGUCAAAACAGACUACUUAUAAGCUAUUUCACAGUAGAUUGCAUAACUUUGUUUUGAAAACUCUGCUGGGAUAAAAAUUAUAAAAGGCCCAGGCAAAUUAACCAUAUCAGAGUCAUUCUUCUGACCCUAAAUCCUAUACAGUAUUUUUCACUGAUGUUUUGCUGGGCUAACUAUAUUAUGUGGUAUAGAUUUUGAUACAACGUUUAUUACUAUUAGUAUACCCAAAAUUGGAAUGAAUAGUUAUACAGGGUGAUUUAACUUCAUUCUCUAUAGGUAUGGCAAAAUUUAAGCACUAAUCAAGUCACCCAGGAAUCUGUACCAGGCCCCAUGUCUUGAACUUUGUAGGAAAGUUACCUAUACUUAAUUCUAUAAUAGCUUUACCCUGCGACCUCGUUUCUAUAGCCUCUAUAGACCUCAGGGAUAAUGUAGCUAUUUAUGAUUGAAAGAAUUUUCAGAAUUAGAUCAUUAGUACCGUAGAUUACGCCCCUACAUACAAACUAACAAAUACCUACCUAUUGUACAAAAAUCUAUUUUGUUAUUUAUAUAUUCUUGUCUUUCAUGUCUUGAUGUACAAUAAAUAAUAUUUACUUUUACUUUCCUUUACUAACACAUUUUUUCUCUAUCAUACUAGUAUAGACAAAAUCAGAGAAUCACGGCCCAGCACAGAUUCCUAUGUGACUAAUGCUUUAGAUGUCCAAUAAGGCCGGAAACAAGCCACAAACUUUGAGUCUAGUUUGAUUAAACUCUUGUCGCAUGGUGACGGGUCAAGUGGCGUGUUAAAAGUAUGAUACUAGCUUAAGAUCCCCUUCACACGCCAUUUUUCACAUGUUUCUUUUGCAAGAUAAAUCUUACCGUAUACGUAGUGGCGAAUAUUUAUACUGAGUAGAACCAUUCACACCGUAAAAACGACGUAUGAAUGGUUCUGUACUCAAAUGCAUGCGCUACUACGUAUUCGGUAAGAUAUAUUCUGUAAAAAAACGUGUUGUAUGAAUACUGUGUGAACGAGGUCUAAUGGAACAUCUGUACAUUGCCUUUGUAAUUUUUUAAGCUAAGCAUCGUAAAAAUAAGAGCUAAUUAGGUGCUAGACGUGAUUUAACUUUGAAAUCCCAACAAUAUAUCAGUGAAAGUUGUACAAGAUAUCCAUGUACUAGUUCAUGCUGUGUUGUAGUAUACAAAUCUUAAACUGAACUAAAUUGACGAAUCUUUAAGUAGCGCUCUCCCUAUCCAUAUGGAACAUUAUGAAAAGGAUGGCGUAUUUUUAGACCAGUUAUUUCAGUUAAGAUUUGUGUAAAAACUGAAUCUACACCAUUGUAUAAUAAAUAAAUUAUACUGUAGUUUAACUAAUGUUGAGGCCUAUUUGAUCGCGUUAAAACAAAAUUGAAGGGUUACUUACUCUGUUCUUUUACUUGAAAGUUAAGGAGUGAAUUCGAGCCCAAGAAAAUUUACAUCCCUAGUUCGUCACUAUUAUAGUAUUUUAAUGUUUAAGGCUAAGAUCAGACGAUUGUGUGAAAACGCGCGUUCCCAAAUACUAAUAUCAAGCAUGCUACGCGUAGCUAUAUUAAAAUAACAGUGUGACAACAUAGUACAAUCAUCAAUCAUGUUAAAAACGUCUUAUAGUCUGCACACUGCAUGCAUUUAUAGAUAGAUCUUUCUAAUUUAGUCUUCAUGGACGAAAUUAAGGUAGUUUUGUUAAUACAAAAACACGAUUAAGAGGUUUAAAUAUAUUUUAAAAUUAACUUAUACAGUAAAUUAUUGUUGUAUUGUUGUAAAUCUGGUAAAUUUAAAAAGCCUGCCUUUAAAUGUGCUGUAAUAUAUCAGAAUUUAAUGUAACAUCAAAGACAACAGGAAAAAAAAUUACCUGUUGUGUUUGUUGUAUGUAUCCAUUUUAAAAUGACAAUGGUACUGAUUCUGAGUACAACUAAAUUUUAGAGUUUAUAUGAAAAGGACAGACGCAGUUUGAAGGUUUUAUUUAAUUUAGAGCUGUCUCACCGCGUGACUUUAACUGCCGGUCGCGAGACUAUUGUUGAGUGUGUAGCGUGCACUAAAAUUUAGUCUUUGAAUGUAAAAUUCAUGUUCCGUCCUUUUUGAGCAAUAUUAAAAAGAAAAAGAUGCAGAUACUCUAAAUUUAGUUUACGGAAAGACAACAGAAUCGGUGCCAAAGUCUUUCCACAAAAACGCGGUUUAAACAAACAUUAAACCCGUUUAGCUUGUACAACCCAAAAGUUUGACGUCAGUUUAGUUUAGUUUAAACCUUAUUUUUGUGGUAAGACUGAUAAUAUUUUGGUAUUGUGGUGACGUCGCAACUGGUUUCUGCAGUAUGGCGAUAAUAUGCAUAUUGUGAUCUUAGGCGCAAGGCACAUUGCAGUACAGUCUACAGUCACAGGCAAGCGUCUUUUUAAAAAUGUUAAAAGUAAACUGAACUUUAUUAAAAUAUAAUGUAGUACAGGUUUGUGUAAAUCAGAAUGAAGGAGUAAGAGGUAACGCUAAGUUAACGUUCCAACAAUUUAGAAAAGUCGCGUCGCGUUGAUUCAACUCUCCGGCGAUGUGCCUUGUAUCUUAUAUUAUAGAAAGUAAAAUACUUCCGACAGGGAUCCUAGUGCCCGGUAAACAACUAACAACUUGAGCUUUGACGCGAUUGGCUGGUGAAUGGCGCGUGCACGCGAUUGGUUGAUCAGUCGGCGCGAGUGCACGAGAUUGGUUCAUACGUCGAUUUUCGCGUGCCGGAUUCGCCAACUUCUCCCACACGCUCUUGAGGUCCAAGUUGUUUGCCGGGCACUAUAACUGUGCAUUUGUGACGUAAUUUACCGGGCUACCCCUCCAAGUGUAUGGACGCUAAAGUGAAGUGCGUAUAAAAUAUUUAGAUAGUGUUUAAAAUAACCCACUAAACAAUAAGACGAUCCAAUUUUUUUUUAAAUUAUUUAGUUAUAACGAAGUUUUGGUCACUUUUUCACUAAUGGGAAAUUCCUCUAUCACAUAAUCAUUAUGUCUGUCCCCACAGUAUUAUUAAAAGAAUGUAUUACUAUAUUUCGUCCAAUUAGAAUUAUUAGGUAUUAUUUAUUCCUGAUUUACUAUGAUUCAAUUAUAAAUAUUACCAAAAACUGUAGAUUUACACUGGACGAUUUUCGUUGCAUGCUGCACAAUUUUUUUUUUUGCCAGCACAAGGUUUUUGCCUUGCGGCAUAGUUGUGCGGCGAAGUUGACUCUUGCAAAUUGACCGUUAGGUAUAGCUGUACAAGGAUCCCCACCUCCAAGCUAAACGAUUUAUGGGCCGCCCAGCUCGCAAAUGUGGAUCUGCCUUAAGAAUUUUAGACACUGACGUCUCAUUUGUGACGUCACAGGAGUGCUAUCAUUUGCCUGCAUUCCGAACCAGUGGUAAAUUAUUUGACGAUUCAAAAGCACUUGUAAAAGUUUAUUUGAAUAAAAAUCUAUUCUAUUCUAUUCUAUUCUGCAUUUAUUAAUUAUUUACACGAACACGAUUGUUUUACUAACACAAACCAUUAGUCAAAAUUUAUUAAAAUAUUACUAAUGAUACGUCUAUACACUUUUUAAUUCAUUCAGUAAAAUGUUUAAAAAAUAUAUUGAAAUUAAACAACAGGUACCUAUUAAUUAUCCUGUAUUGGUUUAUCAUUCCAUUUUUUGAUUUUUCAAAUAUUUUAUUUAACUGUACCUAGUGGGCCUCCAAGAAUUUAAUUUGCACCACAUCCAUUUUUGGCCUUACCUUGCCGUAAUGUAUAGUAAAAUCAUUAAAAGGACCAUAGCCCACGGCAACUUUAAACAGUGAUCAUCCACUGCAUCAUCGCACGUCGUGGCUUAUGGUUCGGUGUAUAAAAGUUCCAAAUCAAAAAAUAACAGGGACAGACUAGAUAGGAUACACUAGAAAUAAAAGUAUAGGCGCUUUAGUUAGCUAUAGUUAAUUUAUAUAUAAUUAGAUUAGAUACUGUUAUGAAGUGGUAAAGAUAAUAUGAUCCUCAUAUACGCGCGCGGCGAUUUACUUUAAAGGUAGGUAUGGUGCUGAUUUGAGUGCAUAAAACUUAACAUUAAAUUGUCAGGAGUUUAAUUAUGACCAUUUUAACUACUAACUAACAACAUAAAAUUAAAACACAACACAAAAUUCCUAAAAAUAUGAAACAGGUGGGGAGGUGAGAUAAAUACCUACCUCUUCCUUUUUUAAAUGUAACAUCUGACAUAUUGAUUUUGUUAGUAUAAAAUCUACCUAUGCCAACCAGAUCAUAAUAACGAAUGGACUGACACUUUAUUUAUCAAAAUCGACUCAGUAAUUUAGGCGUUACGGUGGAACAUACUUACGUAAAAAUAUACAUAAGUGCUAAAAUCAUAACCCUUCCUUUUGGCUUUGCUGUAGUGUCGCGUAAUAAAUAUCCUGGGUGACUAGGGUUUUGAAAAAUCCAUGGCAUGACUAAGUCAUUGGCCACUGUGAAAUAAAUAGGAUUUUCGUUUGAAAUAGCCGUUCAAAUUUUACAUUAAAUUUAAUGAUUUAUACCCAAAUUAGCACCAAUCAAGAAAAUUAAAACUUCUAAGCCCGCACGCAUAUAUUUGUGGAUAUUUAUUUCUAUACAAUAAUUUAAUUUAUAGGAACGGUUGAUGCAUUUGCCUUGUUUUUAUUUCGCUUUUGUUGUACGCGUAGUGUGCCAAAAGUGAUUCUGAUUAUGUUGAAGCAAUUUUAUGUCACAUUUAAUUUUUAGGAAGCACCGUCAAUCAAAAGUAUUAGGUAACUUGUAAAUGUUUUACAUAAACAUGUUGUGCACGUAAGUUGAACGAAUGAUAAAUGAAAUUUAUCUUACUACCUAUGUAUAUUUGUAUUUAUAUUAAUUUAACUAUACUAACUUUAGGCGAAAGAUGAGUUAUUUUAUACUAACAUCUCCACGAGUAAUUCUGGCUUCCCAUGGUAUUAAUCGAUACCGCACGUAUUUUUGUAGCAUAAAUCUUACCAAAUACGUAGUGGCGCAUAUACUAAGUAUAAAACCUUGCACACGGUUAAAACGAUUUUUUGCAGUACAAAUAACGUGUGAGUGGUUGUAUAUUCGUAUAUAACGUAGGUAGGUCAGGUAAUUAGUUCCAGAUCUGUUUUACCGACUUUUAACUUAAAGCUGAAUUUGUUAUAAAUAUCCCGCUGGCUGAAGAUGGACUUUAAAAGCAUUAAUUUCAUUAUUUUCAACAAAUUCAGACAGUUCAAUUCAAUAGAACAAAUCUGGAACUAAAUUAUUUAUUAUUACCUAAACAACCUACGUUCUUCUACGAAAUGAGGUCCCGCUGAGUAUAGGACACUUACUAACUUUAAUCAAAUUAAUUUUAAAUUUUUACCUAAUAUAAAGUUGAAUUUGUACACACAAUAAAUAUUAUAGUCACUUUGGUUAACCGUUAAAACACAUCCACAUUUACAUACCAUUUUACUUACAUACCGAGUGACUGUAUCUAUCAGUAGCAUGUCAAUGUUAUAUUUAAAAUUGAUAAGUUAUAUGUGAGAGGUGUAAGUGGAAUUAUAUAUUUGGGCUUCUGUUAAGCGAAUGUGUGCGAUUUUUGUAUUGUAAGAAAUUAUUUGUAAUAAGCGAUGGAUACAGUGGCUCGGUCGCAAUAGGCGAGUCCAUAUUUGUAUUAUUUUGAUGUAUUUAGACCGUGAUCCCACUGCAUAGGCUCUACACCUAAACUUAAAUUUAAUUCAUAGGAAUACUAUCUAUCUAUCUAUUUAUCUAUCUAUCUAUCUAUCUAUCUAUCUAUCUAUCUAUCUAUCUAUCUAUCUAUCUAUUGAUGAACGCCUCGUUGCCUAUCGAAAUUUCCCGCAAGCCAUUUUAAUUUAAUUUAAAAGAGUUCACUUUAUAGCCGUUGUAAUGGAUCAUUGAUGGUUAGGGAUACUUAUCCCUAAGAAUGCAUUAAUGGUAUAACCACAACACAACAGGGGUGAAAAAAUCAUAGUGGGAUCUCGAACCAAUCGUAUCUUAGUCGCGACAGCCCGAAGAUGAUUAGUUACUAGGCAGUAUUAUAUUUUCCGCCCUAACUGUCAUGAUUCACGGGCCCUCGCGACAGAAGUAUGGUACACCAAAAUGAUACAAAGGUACAAAGCCUUAUAAAUACAUAUAAUAUUAAUUAGGCGUAGAUCUCUGAUUGUGGGAGUGAAUGGACUGACCACGUAAGCGAUAAUUUGCGAAGCUGUUCAACAAAUUGAUAAAUUUUGUAUAAAUAUUUAUAACGAUAAUGUAACUGUUGAAAACAAAAUAUUGUAACAGAUGACAUAUUGUAAGGUGCUUAUGAUUAUCGUUAUAAUACAAAGUUGUGCAUAUA
This is a long non-coding RNA of Maniola jurtina (meadow brown), 6304 nucleotides long. RefSeq lists it as uncharacterized. The transcript has 2 exons. The record is from RefSeq and is a predicted model, not a curated record. NCBI's taxonomy places the organism in Eukaryota, Metazoa, Arthropoda, Insecta, Lepidoptera, Nymphalidae.